This 104-nucleotide microRNA precursor is filed under the name Canis lupus familiaris (dog). RNAcentral describes it as "mir-8834 microRNA precursor family". It matches the Rfam family "mir-8834 microRNA precursor family". Lineage: Eukaryota; Metazoa; Chordata; Mammalia; Carnivora; Canidae. The record is from Rfam by way of RNAcentral.
AGGAGGAACAGCCCCAGUGGCGGGGCCGCUCUGGAAACCUGGAUUCAGCUCCGGCAGGAACUCCGGAGCUCUCCGUCUGCAGGGCCUGGAGGCUCCGGGCGGGG